RNAcentral lists this ribosomal RNA (433 nucleotides) under uncultured bacterium. Its description in RNAcentral is "partial 16S ribosomal RNA". It matches the Rfam family "Bacterial small subunit ribosomal RNA", at positions 29 to 507 of the family's 1533-position model. The record is from RNAcentral.
AACGAACGCUGGCGGCAUGCCUAACACAUGCAAGUCGAACGAGACCUUCGUGUCUAGUGGCGCACGUGUGCGUACCGCGUGGGAACCUGCCCUUAGGUUCCGAAUAACUCCCUGUAAGGUGUGUUAAUACCGGUUAAUCUCAUCGCACAUAAGAUUUCUUGCUGUUGGGUGGGGGCGGGUUGGAUUAGCGGGUUGGUAGGGGACAAGCCGAGCAAGGGGACGAUGCAUAGCUGGUGUGAGAGGAUGACAAGGCACACUGGGAAUGAGGCACGGCCCACACUGCUACGGGAGGCAGCAGUGGGGAAUACUAGAGGAGGGGCGAAAGCCUGAUACAGCAAUGCGGGGUGAGUGAUGAAGCCCUUAGGGUUGUAAAGCUCUCUUACACGAGGUGAUAAUGACAGUACCGGGAGAAUAAGCACCGGCUAACUCCGUG